Bactrocera dorsalis (oriental fruit fly) is the source of this 1500-nucleotide long non-coding RNA. RefSeq lists it as uncharacterized. The transcript has 2 exons. Lineage: Eukaryota; Metazoa; Arthropoda; Insecta; Diptera; Tephritidae. The record is from RefSeq and is a predicted model, not a curated record.
AUGAACAAUAGCUGUAGGUAUAUGGAAUAGCAUUUGUCUUGUUGUAGACAUCUGGCGCCGCACUGUCUGCUUGUCUAGUUAAACAAUUGCUGAGUCUGGCGCCGCGGCUGUCUGCUUGCGUCUGGCGCCGUAUAGCCGUAUGUUCUGGAAAUUUCCAGACGCGAUAUUCUAGAAGGACACGUCGGCAUCAGCGAGAAGUGCGUGGCUAUAUAAGCCGUGGCAGCGCCAACGUAAUCAAUCAGUGCUAAGAGUAAACUGCUAUAGUGUAGACGAGUUGUGAAAUAAAGAGUUGUCGAAUUAAUUAAACAGUGUUGAUUUUAUUUGUCAAUCCAGAGAUACGAACCUAACAAAGUGAACUAGCAAAGAGUAAAUUCGUAACAAUAUAAUAUUUUAGGUUUUUAAUUCAAAAAUCAGUGUAAGCUAAAAUAUUUAACACGUUCUUUAAAUACAUAUAUCUUUCAAUUUAAUACAAUUAAAAGGUUUUGAAAACACAUAUAAACAAUUUGUAUUUCGUUGAAGCAAUUUAGAUAAAUCAUAUCAUAUUUUAAUAAAAAGUACUAGUGUACAAAGCAAUCCACACAUCACACAAAGCAAGAGAAUACGAACAUAUUGAACACAACGGGACAGUUACUUACGCCGCUAUAAACAAACAACUUGCUUUGAUGAGCUUAUUAUGAAAUUCGAUAGAAAAACACGAAGGCCAUCGCUAUAAACUUACUGCCGUCCCUAAAUAAAAGCGGUGACGGCAUCUUACAGUCAAAAAUUCGUGAUCUCCAUGGAUUUUAUAUGGUGAUUUUGACAGCGCGCUUCGAAGCAAUUUUUGUAAAUUUUCUUAAAAAUUUCUUGAAGCUCGAUGUUUAAUGUUUUUAAAAAUGACAGGCAUUUAAGAGAGAAUGAUGCGAAUAUUGGAAAACCAUUCAAAAACUCGCCGAACUAAUUUUCGCCGUCGGUCAAAUUCAAAAGAUCGUUAUAUAGUAUAGGCGAUAACAGUAAACGGAAGCGAGAACAAAUUUGAGUAGCACUUCGAGACAUUAUCGACAUAGAUCAGAAGAUCAUUAUAAACAUUUGAUUCGAAAGUUCUCAUACACAUUGAAAAUCAUGAACGUUGGCUGCGUUUAUGUACACAAUAUGGCGAAUGCCAUAAAUAUCGACAUAAGGAUAAUGACCAAGUGUUAAAUGGGGAUUUAUAUCAAAGAUAUCUGCCACAACCGUAAAUCAUAAUUAGCCAUUCCGGUUGCAGCAGAUUUUAUGAAUUAUGGUUUUCUAACUUACUCUCGAGAUUGAGUGAAAACUGAACAACAUUCACGAACUCCCCAAACUAAUUUUCGUCGUCAGUCAAAUUCAGAAGAUCGUUAUACGGGUAACAAUAGUAAUAAGGAGCGAGAACAGAAAAGUCGGGUGCGAAUAAGAAUUUCCUUGUUUUAAAAGUUAAAACUAAUUUAUCCAAAUAAUAUAUUUGUACCUUUAUUUAUAAAUAUUUAAGAUAAUAUGAAAAUAUAA